GUAUGCUUUGUGUACUGGAUUCAUACUAGAUAUACUCAACAGUUUGCCAAAACCUUAUUAAGUGCUUAAUGGCUUAAGCACUUAAGCCCAAACAUCAGAUCUACAGACCUAACAUGCCUAGGAUCCAUAGAGUCAUGAACUUUAUCACUUUGGACAUCCAUAAAGUUCUUAAUGCUUGGUAUUAAUCCAUUGAGACCUUAUUUCAUCAUGCAUGGGACACAUAUAGCUAAUGGGAUCUCAUUUUUAUAACUCAAGGUCCCUUUAAGAGUCUAGAAGGACAACCCUUUUCAUCCAAGUCACAACAUGCACUACCUUAUGGCAUUUGGGACAAGAAAUGCUUUAAUAAAGUAAAAUGGUGAGAUCUAUGCAUAUAUGCAUAAAGUUUGGAAAUUUAUAACUUCUGGAGAUUAUUAAGCACAAGCUAACUUCAGAUCUACAAGUUUGAUCUUCUUCUCCAACACUUUGAUGCAAUACCUUCCUCUUAAAGCACUGAAGAACACACCAAAUAAGCUUAAACAUGCAAAGGAAAGGCUAGGGUUUAGGGAGGACGAAUGUAAUCUUUGGAGGCUGAGGUAAGGGAGGUUUUAAUGCUCAUAAUGUUGCUUAUAUAGUCCCCUAACCCUAAAUAUUAGGGUUUCACCCUGACAUUAGUACGCCCAGCGUACUAAGGCGGACCUUCGUACCCUUCGCGUACUCUUUUGUACGUGCAACAUACUCCCACAUGGCCCAAUUUUGCAAACAUGGCCCUUAAACUUGUCUUGGCUCUUCACUUCCAACCCCACAGACUAUAAAUGACAAGGUAAAGAUAGAAGAGAGUUCGAGAGUACCUGCCACAUUUUGGGAUGUUACAAACUUAUACUCUCAAAUGUAGUUUAUAAAAAAACAUGAGUAGUGUAAGCACUACUCGUGGCGCGUGGUAUCAGUCGGUCCAUGCAGAGUGGCUAUAUGAGCGCGUGUUGGUAUCGCCUCUUCUUUGUCGGUUACCGCCUAGCGUUUUUCCUCCAUCAACCGCCUUUCCAUCAUGGCUUGGCAUUCCCGGGAUUCCCAAACUUCACCUCGGUUGGAAGUGAUUUCCCUCUGCAGGGCCUCAGGGUGAUCCCUGUUCCGGUCAUGAUCUUCGUUUAGGCGACGAAGGUUUAACGACGUAAAUUUUCAACCAAAUUUUUUAUUUUAAAAAUUCACAAAAUUCAUACAUUUUUAUUGCAAGAAAAUCAUAAGUGUCUUAAUGUCAACAUAAAAUCUCAAUCAUAAGUCAAAUCCUAGAAUCCUCAAUUUCAUCACGAACAGAUGUGUACAAUCACACCGAUGCCUUCCUGCAAUCCUCUUGGGUACCUAAAACACAUAACACAGAACGCGGUAAGCACGACACUUCGUUAGUUACCCAAAUACAACAUACAACAUAUUAACCACUUGAGGCUAUAACUCUAUAUGACCCUCUGGUCAAUGUGUCUCAGUGGGACCCUCCAGUCCCACAACUCUGAUGGACCCUCCGGUCCUAACUAUAUGGACCUUCCAGUCCUAACUCUGUAAGCUCUGGAUAAUGCAUAGCGUAAAUCACAUAGAAAUAAGGUAAUAUAUCAUAUUACAUCAUUAACAUAUAAGAUACUUUGUCGCACAACUCGGUUUACCACUCUAGGUAUGUAUAGUGAUAAGAGUCACCUCACAGCUAGUAGGAAAAAGACACACACUUGAGAAUCCUGAACUAGCCUCCACCUAACACAUUAGACAACCAUUUCAAUCAAUAUCCCCCUUUUCCUCAUUUACACCUAAAGUCCUCUUUUCUCUUUAUAUUCUAUUGGAUGGGUAAAAAACCAUUUUACCCCUCCAUGGUCUCAAUGUUCCUAAUUGACCUAUUCUCAAGUCAAUAGAAGUCAAGAUGAGUCAAUAGCCAAGGUUGACCCAUCUUGCUGAGUGCACUCAGGUGACUCGCCGAUUCCACUCGUAUCCUAUGAAUUCUUCUAAGGGUUUCACACAGCUCGUCGAGUUAACUCCUAACUCGACGGGUUAUCACUGGGUCAUGAAUUGUUGGGGCAACCCGAUCUGACUCAUCGAGUUAUCUCAUAGAUUCAAUGAUUUGACUCAUCUAGGUGUCUCAUAUGGACGUUUGAGGUCAGAUCUGCAACCCCAUUUGACAAAGGCCCGAAAAAGGACGUAUGUGUGGUGUGCUCCUCUGGUACGCGGGGUGUACUCAUCCAGACGUUGACCACCAUCGGGGUGGUUGACCCAGUAUGCUUUGUGUACUGGAUUCAUACUAGAUAUACUCAACAGUUUGCCAAAACCUUAUUAAGUGCUUAAUGGCUUAAGCACUUAAGCCCAAACAUCAGAUCUACAGACCUAACAUGCCUAGGAUCCAUAGAGUCAUGAACUUUAUCACUUUGGACAUCCAUAAAGUUCUUAAUGCUUGGUAUUAAUCCAUUGAGACCUUAUUUCAUCAUGCAUGGGACACAUAUAGCUAAUGGGAUCUCAUUUUUAUAACUCAAGGUCCCUUUAAGAGUCUAGAAGGACAACCCUUUUCAUCCAAGUCACAACAUGCACUACCUUAUGGCAUUUGGGACAAGAAAUGCUUUAAUAAAGUAAAAUGGUGAGAUCUAUGCAUAUAUGCAUAAAGUUUGGAAAUUUAUAACUUCUGGAGAUUAUUAAGCACAAGCUAACUUCAGAUCUACAAGUUUGAUCUUCUUCUCCAACACUUUGAUGCAAUACCUUCCUCUUAAAGCACUGAAGAACACACCAAAUAAGCUUAAACAUGCAAAGGAAAGGCUAGGGUUUAGGGAGGACGAAUGUAAUCUUUGGAGGCUGAGGUAAGGGAGGUUUUAAUGCUCAUAAUGUUGCUUAUAUAGUCCCCUAACCCUAAAUAUUAGGGUUUCACCCUGACAUUAGUACGCCCAGCGUACUAAGGCGGACCUUCGUACCCUUCGCGUACUCUUUUGUACGUGCAACAUACUCCCACAUGGCCCAAUUUUGCAAACAUGGCCCUUAAACUUGUCUUGGCUCUUCACUUCCAACCCCACAGACUAUAAAUGACAAGGUAAAGAUAGAAGAGAGUUCGAGAGUACCUGCCACAUUUUGGGAUGUUACAAACUUAUACUCUCAAAUGUAGUUUAUAAAAAAACAUGAGUAGUGUAAGCACUACUCGUGGCGCGUGGUAUCAGUCGGUCCAUGCAGAGUGGCUAUAUGAGCGCGUGUUGGUAUCGCCUCUUCUUUGUCGGUUACCGCCUAGCGUUUUUCCUCCAUCAACCGCCUUUCCAUCAUGGCUUGGCAUUCCCGGGAUUCCCAAACUUCACCUCGGUUGGAAGUGAUUUCCCUCUGCAGGGCCUCAGGGUGAUCCCUGUUCCGGUCAUGAUCUUCGUUUAGGCGACGAAGGUUUAACGACGUAAAUUUUCAACCAAAUUUUUUAUUUUAAAAAUUCACAAAAUUCAUACAUUUUUAUUGCAAGAAAAUCAUAAGUGUCUUAAUGUCAACAUAAAAUCUCAAUCAUAAGUCAAAUCCUAGAAUCCUCAAUUUCAUCACGAACAGAUGUGUACAAUCACACCGAUGCCUUCCUGCAAUCCUCUUGGGUACCUAAAACACAUAACACAGAACGCGGUAAGCACGACACUUCGUUAGUUACCCAAAUACAACAUACAACAUAUUAACCACUUGAGGCUAUAACUCUAUAUGACCCUCUGGUCAAUGUGUCUCAGUGGGACCCUCCAGUCCCACAACUCUGAUGGACCCUCCGGUCCUAACUAUAUGGACCUUCCAGUCCUAACUCUGUAAGCUCUGGAUAAUGCAUAGCGUAAAUCACAUAGAAAUAAGGUAAUAUAUCAUAUUACAUCAUUAACAUAUAAGAUACUUUGUCGCACAACUCGGUUUACCACUCUAGGUAUGUAUAGUGAUAAGAGUCACCUCACAGCUAGUAGGAAAAAGACACACACUUGAGAAUCCUGAACUAGCCUCCACCUAACACAUUAGACAACCAUUUCAAUCAAUAUCCCCCUUUUCCUCAUUUACACCUAAAGUCCUCUUUUCUCUUUAUAUUCUAUUGGAUGGGUAAAAAACCAUUUUACCCCUCCAUGGUCUCAAUGUUCCUAAUUGACCUAUUCUCAAGUCAAUAGAAGUCAAGAUGAGUCAAUAGCCAAGGUUGACCCAUCUUGCUGAGUGCACUCAGGUGACUCGCCGAUUCCACUCGUAUCCUAUGAAUUCUUCUAAGGGUUUCACACAGCUCGUCGAGUUAACUCCUAACUCGACGGGUUAUCACUGGGUCAUGAAUUGUUGGGGCAACCCGAUCUGACUCAUCGAGUUAUCUCAUAGAUUCAAUGAUUUGACUCAUCUAGGUGUCUCAUAUGGACGUUUGAGGUCAGAUCUGCAACCCCAUUUGACAAAGGCCCGAAAAAGGACGUAUGUGUGGUGUGCUCCUCUGGUACGCGGGGUGUACUCAUCCAGACGUUGACCACCAUCGGGGUGGUUGACCCAGUAUGCUUUGUGUACUGGAUUCAUACUAGAUAUACUCAACAGUUUGCCAAAACCUUAUUAAGUGCUUAAUGGCUUAAGCACUUAAGCCCAAACAUCAGAUCUACAGACCUAACAUGCCUAGGAUCCAUAGAGUCAUGAACUUUAUCACUUUGGACAUCCAUAAAGUUCUUAAUGCUUGGUAUUAAUCCAUUGAGACCUUAUUUCAUCAUGCAUGGGACACAUAUAGCUAAUGGGAUCUCAUUUUUAUAACUCAAGGUCCCUUUAAGAGUCUAGAAGGACAACCCUUUUCAUCCAAGUCACAACAUGCACUACCUUAUGGCAUUUGGGACAAGAAAUGCUUUAAUAAAGUAAAAUGGUGAGAUCUAUGCAUAUAUGCAUAAAGUUUGGAAAUUUAUAACUUCUGGAGAUUAUUAAGCACAAGCUAACUUCAGAUCUACAAGUUUGAUCUUCUUCUCCAACACUUUGAUGCAAUACCUUCCUCUUAAAGCACUGAAGAACACACCAAAUAAGCUUAAACAUGCAAAGGAAAGGCUAGGGUUUAGGGAGGACGAAUGUAAUCUUUGGAGGCUGAGGUAAGGGAGGUUUUAAUGCUCAUAAUGUUGCUUAUAUAGUCCCCUAACCCUAAAUAUUAGGGUUUCACCCUGACAUUAGUACGCCCAGCGUACUAAGGCGGACCUUCGUACCCUUCGCGUACUCUUUUGUACGUGCAACAUACUCCCACAUGGCCCAAUUUUGCAAACAUGGCCCUUAAACUUGUCUUGGCUCUUCACUUCCAACCCCACAGACUAUAAAUGACAAGGUAAAGAUAGAAGAGAGUUCGAGAGUACCUGCCACAUUUUGGGAUGUUACAAACUUAUACUCUCAAAUGUAGUUUAUAAAAAAACAUGAGUAGUGUAAGCACUACUCGUGGCGCGUGGUAUCAGUCGGUCCAUGCAGAGUGGCUAUAUGAGCGCGUGUUGGUAUCGCCUCUUCUUUGUCGGUUACCGCCUAGCGUUUUUCCUCCAUCAACCGCCUUUCCAUCAUGGCUUGGCAUUCCCGGGAUUCCCAAACUUCACCUCGGUUGGAAGUGAUUUCCCUCUGCAGGGCCUCAGGGUGAUCCCUGUUCCGGUCAUGAUCUUCGUUUAGGCGACGAAGGUUUAACGACGUAAAUUUUCAACCAAAUUUUUUAUUUUAAAAAUUCACAAAAUUCAUACAUUUUUAUUGCAAGAAAAUCAUAAGUGUCUUAAUGUCAACAUAAAAUCUCAAUCAUAAGUCAAAUCCUAGAAUCCUCAAUUUCAUCACGAACAGAUGUGUACAAUCACACCGAUGCCUUCCUGCAAUCCUCUUGGGUACCUAAAACACAUAACACAGAACGCGGUAAGCACGACACUUCGUUAGUUACCCAAAUACAACAUACAACAUAUUAACCACUUGAGGCUAUAACUCUAUAUGACCCUCUGGUCAAUGUGUCUCAGUGGGACCCUCCAGUCCCACAACUCUGAUGGACCCUCCGGUCCUAACUAUAUGGACCUUCCAGUCCUAACUCUGUAAGCUCUGGAUAAUGCAUAGCGUAAAUCACAUAGAAAUAAGGUAAUAUAUCAUAUUACAUCAUUAACAUAUAAGAUACUUUGUCGCACAACUCGGUUUACCACUCUAGGUAUGUAUAGUGAUAAGAGUCACCUCACAGCUAGUAGGAAAAAGACACACACUUGAGAAUCCUGAACUAGCCUCCACCUAACACAUUAGACAACCAUUUCAAUCAAUAUCCCCCUUUUCCUCAUUUACACCUAAAGUCCUCUUUUCUCUUUAUAUUCUAUUGGAUGGGUAAAAAACCAUUUUACCCCUCCAUGGUCUUAAUGUUCCUAAUUGACCUAUUCUCAAGUCAACAGAAGUCAAGAUGAGUCAAUAGCCAAGGUUGACCCAUCUUGCUGAGUGCACUCAGGUGACUCGCCGAUUCCACUCGUAUCCUAUGAAUUCUUCUAAGGGUUUCACACAGCUCGUCGAGUUAACUCCUAACUCGACGGGUUAUCACUGGGUCAUGAAUUGUUGGGGCAACCCGAUCUGACUCAUCGAGUUAUCUCAUAGAUUCAAUGAUUUGACUCAUCUAGGUGUCUCAUAUGGACGUUUGAGGUCAGAUCUGCAACUCCAACUUCUAGAUCUAGCCUCCUAAUACCCAAAAGUCACGUAAAGGUUCAAUCUUGACGACCAUGCAUGGCAUAAACGCUUCAUAAUGCCAUCAAA
RNAcentral lists this long non-coding RNA (6672 nucleotides) under Lactuca sativa (garden lettuce). RNAcentral describes it as "long non-coding RNA (LSAT_LNC000443)". The record is from RNAcentral. Lineage: Eukaryota; Viridiplantae; Streptophyta; Magnoliopsida; Asterales; Asteraceae.